RNAcentral lists this ribosomal RNA (997 nucleotides) under uncultured bacterium. RNAcentral's name for it is "bacterial SSU rRNA". It matches the Rfam family "Bacterial small subunit ribosomal RNA", at positions 356 to 1376 of the family's 1533-position model. The record is from RNAcentral.
GGGGAAUAUUGCACAAUGGGGGAAACCCUGAUGCAGCGACGCCGCGUGGAGGAAGAAGGUCUUCGGAUUGUAAACUCCUGUUGUUGAGGAAGAUAAUGACGGUACUCAACAAGGAAGUGACGGCUAACUACGUGCCAGCAGCCGCGGUAAAACGUAGGUCACAAGCGUUGUCCGGAAUUACUGGGUGUAAAGGGAGCGCAGGCGGGAAGACAAGUUGGAAGUGAAAACCAUGGGCUCAACCCAUGAAUUGCUUUCAAAACUGUUUUUCUUGAGUAGUGCAGAGGUAGAUGGAAUUCCCGGUGUAGCGGUGGAAUGCGUAGAUAUCGGGAGGAACACCAGUGGCGAAGGCGGUCUACUGGGCACCAACUGACGCUGAGGCUCGAAAGCAUGGGUAGCAAACAGGAUUAGAUACCCUGGUAGUCCAUGCCGUAAACGAUGAUUACUAGGUGUUGGGGGAUUGACCCCCUCAGUGCCGCAGUUAACACAAUAAGUAAUCCACCUGGGGAGUACGACCGCAAGGUUGAAACUCAAAGGAAUUGACGGGGGCCCGCACAAGCAGUGGAGUAUGUGGUUUAAUUCGAAGCAACGCGAAGAACCUUACCAGGUCUUGACAUCCGAUGCAUAGCACAGAGAUGUGUGAAAUCCUUCGGGACAUCGAGACAGGUGGUGCAUGGUUGUCGUCAGCUCGUGUCGUGAGAUGUUGGGUUAAGUCCCGCAACGAGCGCAACCCUUAUUGCCAGUUACUACGUUAAGAGGACUCUGGCGAGACUGCCGUUGACAAAACGGAGGAAGGUGGGGAUGACGUCAAAUCAUCAUGCCCUUUAUGACCUGGGCUACACACGUACUACAAUGGCGUUAAACAAAGAGAAGCAAGACCGCGAGGUGGAGCAAAACUCAAAAACAACGUCUCAGUUCAGAUUGCAGGCUGCAACUCGCCUGCAUGAAGUCGGAAUUGCUAGUAAUCGCGGAUCAGCAUGCCGCGGUGAAUACGUUCCCG